RNAcentral lists this ribosomal RNA (465 nucleotides) under Vreelandella stevensii. RNAcentral describes it as "partial 16S ribosomal RNA". It matches the Rfam family "Bacterial small subunit ribosomal RNA", at positions 338 to 795 of the family's 1533-position model. The record is from RNAcentral. Lineage: Bacteria; Pseudomonadati; Pseudomonadota; Gammaproteobacteria; Oceanospirillales; Halomonadaceae.
CCUACGGGUGGCAGCAGUGGGGAAUAUUGGACAAUGGGGGGAACCCUGAUCCAGCCAUGCCGCGUGUGUGAAGAAGGCCCUCGGGUUGUAAAGCACUUUCAGUGAGGAAGAACGCCUGGUGGUUAAUACCCAUCAGGAAAGACAUCACUCACAGAAGAAGCACCGGCUAACUCCGUGCCAGCAGCCGCGGUAAUACGGAGGGUGCGAGCGUUAAUCGGAAUUACUGGGCGUAAAGCGCGCGUAGGUGGCUUGAUAAGCCGGUUGUGAAAGCCCCGGGCUCAACCUGGGAACGGCAUCCGGAACUGUCAAGCUAGAGUGCAGGAGAGGAAGGUAGAAAUCCCGGUGUAGCGGUGAAAUGCGUAGAGGUCGGGAGGAAUACCAGUGGCGAAGGCGGCCUUCUGGACUGACACUGACACUGAGGUGCGAAAGCGUGGGUAGCAAACAGGAUUAGAUACCCUUGUAGUC